This is a long non-coding RNA of Brachypodium distachyon (stiff brome), 1893 nucleotides long. RefSeq lists it as uncharacterized. NCBI's taxonomy places the organism in Eukaryota, Viridiplantae, Streptophyta, Magnoliopsida, Poales, Poaceae. The record is from RefSeq and is a predicted model, not a curated record. The transcript has 8 exons.
GGCAAGGGGGAGGCGGAGGAGAGAAACCGCGGCGGCACAUCGCCCCCCGCCCCCCGCCGCCGGCGAUCCCCACCGUAUUAUGGUGGUUACGCCGCGGCCCCUGGAGGGAGCUCGAGAUCUCCAGAGUUCCCCACCGUGGUCUGUUGAUGGUUGGAGUCAAGACAGAAUUUGAUUUGAGAUUAGGUUGGGCCAACAACCAGAUAUCAGCAGAACACCACCGCCGAGCUCGCGCCAGGUUCCAUCUUCCCUGCUUUCAUCAGAGGCUAUUGUUUCAGUUGCCAGGCGAGUGAACUAUAUGAUCAUAAAGGUGCAGAAAGAAUUACCUUCUCCAGAUUGGACGAAAUACCAAGUGAAAUAAUCAGGACAUCUAUUAGGCACAUGCAUCUUGAACAAUUAGAUUGACAUCGGGAGAAGUAGACUUCAUACUUUCUGUACAUCAAAAUUUGUUGAAUUAUUAGUGAAUCCUUUAAGGUGGAUUCCAAUUGUAUAGAUUCAGAGAUGUGUGUCUAGAAGCUUGAGAGUACUCAUAACAAAAAUAUAUUUUCUGGGAUCGCAAUUUUCUUGGACAGGAGCUGCAUGCAAUUUUGGUUCAAGUAGUGAGACAGUCGUCUCCCUAGUCCCUCACUCCGAUAAGUAAUCUGAUCACUCUGUGCUCUUGAACAGUCAGUUUCAAAUGACUACUCUUUUGCAUGGGAGAGUUCAAAGAAACAACACAGAGUACCAGUAUCUUCCUUUGAAGAGACUGCGAAAGGCUAACGAAGCAUCCUCAGACCAUCGCACAUUGUGUCGAUGGUUGCAGGAUGUGAAGAGACAGACGUAUUUCAGCUCUGCGGCUGUUCUUCGACUUCGAUUUCGUUGGUGAGAUGUUCUUCGACUCCGACUCUAAAUGGCAAGACACUCUUGGAACAGAAGCUAGUUUGCCACUGCUAUCUUUUCUCUGGAUGGAGCUAGAAGAGAGACUGCCAUGUCUCGAGUAUUGGCGGCAAAGUUUUGAUUCCAUCCGUGCAGCAUCGCUGGCUGGAAUCAUCUUCAGUUGAGCUUAUGAGGCUGUCAUGUUCCCAUUAUUGGCGGCAAAGUCGUCUGCACGAGGAUGCAGUUUGUUCAUGGAUCCAAACAGGUGGUACCAUGAAGCAAACUGAAAAGGAGGAAGCAACGUUGAUGUUUCUUUGUUGUACCUGCUGGCUAUAGUAGUUGACUUCAGGACUCCUCGUGCAGCCUAGCUGGCCUGUUUCUGUGAUCUAUUGCAAUCUGGAAGUAAUCCACAUGUUCUAGCUGAGCUUACACAUUGUUGUGUUCCAACUAUUGACAGCAAGAAUAUGCAUAGGUGUCUCGUAUGUGCGCGGGUGCAUGGAAAGCGCUGAUAUAGCUUUAAAUGGAUUGUUAAUUGUUGUCUAGAUUACUGGUGAUUGUUCCACUUCCACCUACAUCAACCAUAUGAUCAAAAUGGAAGGCGGAAAGGAGACAGCAUUACGCCAAGAUCUGAAAAGAAGCAAGCGGCCAGGAUAUGACAUCAAUGGUGGCAUCCAUAUACAUAAACAAUGAACCAGGAGCUGACUGUAUUGGAGUAUGGAGUGAGAUUGAGGAGUUGGGUAAGAAUGGAGAAGCUUUGGUCUGAUGUCUUGACCCAUUCAGUGAGGCUACUUAUGCAACAGAAGCAGCUGGGACACAUUUCUUGAAAGGGAGAAAACAGGAGUCGCGGCAUUUAAUUUGCUGUAGAAUUGUCACAUUGUCAAGGAUUUACACGUGGUACAUGUUUCUUUUAGGCCACCGAAGACCUUUAUGAGUGUUUAACACUCUGUCAUGUUCCACCUAUUGGUAGCAAAGCAUCUGCAUUACUUCCGAGGAUCGUGGUGGAUCUUGAAGUAAGUGCAAGAAAGGUUCUUUAGUGGGGUU